Molecule: long non-coding RNA, 16016 nt
Filed under: Marmota monax (woodchuck)
Lineage: Eukaryota; Metazoa; Chordata; Mammalia; Rodentia; Sciuridae
Source: RNAcentral
UAGACAUGCCACCCUGAAGGAGACAUGGAGGUCUGGAUCUCCAGGUACAGUACUGAUUUUUUGCUGGCUAUUCAAACUAAUCCAAAUUUUUACUUCAUGCCUCCACCAAGUCUGGCAUAGUUCACAACUAUGGGAAUCUGAUGAGCCUUAAUCAAACUAAAUAGCAUUUAAGGAACUCCUGGGAAGAGUUUCAUAGCAUUAUUUUAAAUCACUGUUUUUGAGUAACUGGAUUUAUUAAUUCAUUGAUUGGCUCAGAAAUUUUCAAAAAAAAGUAUCUCUGUGUCUUUGACAUAAGAAAGUGAGUCUCCUGUCAUUUUCCGGUUUACCCUUGCUAACCAAGUUCUUUUGGGCCCUUCUCUCUGCCAUGCAAAGGGAACAUGGGCUCCUCUAAGACUUAUCUGAAUAACUGUAGUUCUAAUUUUUUAAACUCUCCAACCGAGUAAAAAAAUUUCAGGAGUUUUUAAAUAAUAGUUUUAUAGCUUUCCUUUACAGAGGAGGAAAAACUUGACUAUAGCAAUAGCAGCAGAAAUUCAGAGGACUAGGUCUCUUCCUUGUCCCUUUUUGAGAAAUGGAUCCAUCCUUGGGAUCUUAGGAUAAUGACAAUGCAAAGCAGCUGAUUUCUUUUUAAUCAACAAAUGAGAUUGAGACCAGCAUAACAAACGACAGGGGAGAAUAAGGCCCUUGACUGUUUUAUUUCAUCAGUGCCCUUUGCUUCAGGGUUGUCUCUGUUGGGAUGGUUUCUUAGGCUGAAAAAAAGUGGGGGAACAAUAUCUUUGUUUGGUAUGUCUGGCACAUUUUUAAUAGACCUGAUAAAAAGAACUGAUAACUAACAUUUAUUGAGAAAUUAAUACAUGGCUUUCUUGGGGGUAAGGGCUUUGCAUGAAUUAUUUUGUUUAAUGCACAUAACAACCCGGCCAAAUAUUAUUAUCUGACCCAUAAGUAAACUAAAUGUGUAAUUUUCCCAAAGUCAGUACAAGAUGAAACUGUGGUUGAACGUGAUUUGUCUGACUUCCAGAGCCUGCUCUGUUAUUCUAUGUGCUGUGCCACCUUUAAUUCUUAUACAAGAAGUAGACUUUAACAGGCUUAGACAUCUUUGAAGGACAGAUGGUAAGUAAUCCUAAAAAAGAAAUUUAUCUUAGGUCCUCAGUUUGUUAUGGGAAGGAAGAAAGGCUGAUAAUAUUGUCCAGAUACGUUUUUGCUAUGUGUUUGUCUGAAGAGCAAAAGAAUCCCAGAUUACUUAUGCUAAAUACCCAAGACUGUUCACUGGACACUUAUCUUCUUUCUAUUGAAUUUAAAAGAAACAUAUGGGUUACUAUGUUUAACCAGCCAUCUGCCAUCAUGAACAAAUUCUUGAGGAAAUUGCUUUGGACCUAAAGUACAGCACAUGUUUGAUCUUUAUGUAUAUCAUAUUUUUUCAAUUUGGAAACUUUGAAGGAAAGAGAUAAAAAGGGUGCAAGAAGAAAAAUGGAAAGCAAAAAAAAAAAAAAGACAAGAAAAAAUCCACUAACAAACUAAACAAAUUAAAAAAAAAAAGAGGAAUUAUUUUAAAAAGUAAAACGAGGGCUUCAUGGCGUCCUGAACUAGGGAGAGUAAGAGGCAGUGAACUAAAGCUGCCCAAAUAGAUCUAACCUGACACAAAAUCAGGGGUACUACGUACUGAACAGAGAAGAUAAGAAAAUAGUAAAGAAACUCUUGUUAAUGUCAGUUUAGUCGAGAUUGAUCAUUCUGGAAAAGAUGAUAGCUUUAAUUUUAUGUGAGUAGGAUGAAUAAUGACAUCUGAAAAUGUAUAUGUUGGAUCCCUGGGGAAGAAGGGACUCAGCAUAGGUGAUUCAAUUAGGAAUCUUGAGAUGGGGAGAUUAUGCUGCAUUAUUGAAGUGGCUCCAGUGGAAUCAAAGGGUCCUUCUUAGAGGGAAACAGGAGGGACAGGGUCAAAUAAGGACAUGCAAUGGUAGAAGCAGAUUGAUGCACUUUGCAGAUGGAGGAAGGGGCCACAAGUCAAGGAAUGUAGGUAGCCUCUUCAGAAUCCCCCAGAUGCCCACAGAGGACAGACACCUUGAGUUUAGUUCUACAGACUUAUUUUGGACUUCUUAUCUGAAGAGCUCAAAGAUAACAGAUUUGUAUUGUUUUAAGUCAUUUAGUUUGUGAUAAUUUGCUAUCGCAACAACAGGAAACCAAUACAUACACUUCUGAAAAUACUAACGAUUCACAAUGGAAAAAAAUUUGAACUCCAUUAAUCAUUUUAUCCCCCAUCGUAAUACUAGUCCAUCCCCUAAACCAACCCACUCCUCCCCAUCUCUCAAGCAUCUCUCCUUCCCAUUCUGCUCCUGCUGGUCUUCACCCCUUGAGUGACUUCAGACAGCAGUCUCUAGAUUAUUGUCUCUACUCCCUGAUCCACACUUACUGACAUAUAUUCAUAAAGUGUCAGUGUCAAAAUUUUUGUUGAAUAGAUGAUACCUAAAGAUAAAAGGCUCCAACUCUUUACAAUGGCUUCCAAGACACUAUCCUUCCAUUCUUUUGCACUUCAACUAUAAUGACACAGUACUACCCCAUAAAUGUCAUUUAGUCCUGUCUCCAGGCCCAUGAUAAGAUUUCGACUCCUUUCUGGCCCCCUCUUCUCCCUCUUAGUCAUUGGAACUCAUCACACAUCAUGCACCAAAACACAACUCAACUCCCACCUUUUUCAGAAAUCCUUGCCUGACUAUCACAGAACCUCUUCUUGGUAUUUAACCUGUGAAAAAUGUAGAUUAGGGCCUACUUUUUCUUCUAUUAGGCACAGGGUCUCUGGUUUAAUUCCUAGGUCCUUGAUUCAUUUUGAGUUGAGUUUUGUGCCUGGUGAGAGAUAGGGGUUUAAUUUCAUUUUGUUGCAUAUGGAUUUCCAGUAUUCCCAGCACCAUUUGUUGAAGAGGCUAUCUUUUUUCCAGUGCAUGUUUUUGGCACCUUUGUCUAAUAUAAUUGUAAUUUUGUGGGUUAGUCUCUGUGUCCUCUAUUCUGUACCAUAGGUCUGACAAUCUGUUUUGGUGCCAAUCUGUUUUGGUGCCAAUACCAUGCUGUUUUUGUUACUAUUGCUCUGUAGUAUAGUUUAAGGUCUGGUAUAGUGAUGCUACCUGCUUUGCUCUUCCUGCUAAGGAUUGCUUUAGCUAUUCUGGGUCUCUUAUUUUUAUAGGUGAAUUUCAUGAUUGCCUUUUCUAUUUCUAUGAGAAAUGUCAUUGGAAUUUUGAUCAGAAACUGUAUCCAUCCUUCAAGGCCUAUCCCAGAUGGUACUUCCUCCCUAAAAUUUUCCCAAACCUCUUAGUAGGAAGUGUUAAUGUGUGCCACACAUUUGUUUAUAACUUUGUUAAAAUGUAUUCAUUAUGUUUGCCUUAUAUCACAAAUACUCCUGUGUAAUUGGAUAAUAUUUCUCUUAUCCAAGCAAUUGAAGGGAAAGGUGUCUUAUACAUCAUUACCCUGCUUUCCAGAGUCUUCUGUAUAUAACGUUUAAGAAAUUAUUGAUUAAAUCACUGAAUUUCAUGCAUUUCAAGAAAAACAGCAACCUACAUGCUACUUUUUCUCUUCCAACUCAAGUUUAUUUGCACAUCUGGAACCAAACACUGCUAAGCAUUUGGAAAACUGAGUAUAUUGAGGUCUUGGGUGCCAGGGAGAGUGGUACAGAGCUUUCUUUCUUGUGAGCAGGGCAAGAAUAUCAGUGAGCCCUGAGAAGAAAUUUGUGUAUUUGUCCCUAAUCCCUAAAAACCAAAAUGAAUAAUAAUUCAGAUAAUAAUUUUGAGAGUGUAAGAGGGCAAUAGAACCAUAACAGAUACUUUGCAAGGUCCAGGCAAUGUUGCCUCAUUAACAUCAGGGGUAGAACUCCCCCUACUUUCUACCAUUUAUGGUACCAUCAACACAUGGAGUACUCCACCAAACAGACCUAGACCCCAAUAAUCUGGGGGGACAAAAGAAAACAAAAUCAUCCACACUUAAAGGAGGGGAAGAGAGAGAGAGUUUUUGGAGAAGACAAACACUUGAUCAAAAAUAAUAAAAACCCCUAGUGUACAACACCUGCACCAAAAAUAUUUUCUGACUUGGAAAAAAUAAUAUUAUUUCCCAAAGAAACAAAUGAGCAUUUGAAUUGAAGAAGAGACUGAUCAUUGCUGAGACCCAAAUGAGGAUCUUGUAUGAUCAAGUGGAAAACAUACCUCAAAACACAGAAACAAACAAAAAGAAGUGAAAACUAUGAGGAAAAUAUAACAGGUCUGAGGAAAGGACUGGAAAAGAGAUAAAAAUAAGUAAUCAAAACAUUCCAAUUUCUUACAUAGGAAAAUAGAGGAACGUGGCAAUAAGUAAAUAAGUAGUAGAAAAACAUAGACUGAAUCUGAAUUAGAAGAUUGGCAAAGCACAACCAGUUCCUGGACGGCAAGAAAAAGGAAGCAAAAUAUCUAGGCGCAUCUUAUUAAAAUCCCUGAACUCCAAGAUUAAAAAGAUAAAUCAUAUAAGUGUUCAGAUAAAAAGAACAUUCAAAGCAAACCAUAGACCAUUGUCAAAGUUUUCACUGUAACACUAGAAGCUAUAAAAUGGUAAAAUAUAUCUAUAGAAUUCUAGAAAUACGGCAAUGCCAAAAUUCUAUACCCAGCCAAGCUGCCAUUUCCCAUCAGUCAAAAGUAAGGCAUCACUGAAUAAACAGGAAUUUAGAAAGCACAUUAUUAAUUAGGUCAUUUGAAGAAAAUUCUCAGAAUAAAAUUAACUAAAUAAUAAAUUAAUUUGAAAGAGCCUACACAAUGAUAAAUAUUGGAGGUUUACAACAUAAGUAUCAAAUAAGGACUCAUUAACUAUAGUUGGAGUAUCCCUUGUCUGAAAUGCUUAGGACCAGUUUCACCUUUUAGAUUUUUUUACAAUUUUGGAGUAUUUGCAUAUACAUAAUACAUGCCUUGGGAAUGAGACUUGUUUUAUUAAACAUGAAAUAAUUGGUGUUUCAUAUGUAUCUUAUACACAUACCUUGUAGAUAACUUUACCCAGCAUUUUAGUGCAUUUGUGUUUUGACUAUGAACUGCCCAGUGAGGCCAAGAAUACAAUUUUUUCACUUCUGGUGUCAUGACAGUGUUCAAAAAUAUUUUGGAUAUUAAAGUAUUGCAGGUUUUGAAUUUUUUCAGGUUAGGAAUACCUGUAAAUGACAGUCGUAUGGAAGAUAAAUAGUCAAACAUAGAUAGCUCUUCUUUGUUAGUAAGAAGGGCCUUGCAAUGGAAAUGAGAGAAAAAAAUCUAUAUCCCAAUACCAAGAAAUACUAAAAAAUAGUCAAAGAUAAAUGUACCAGAAAAGUUCAUAAAAAAAAAACCCAUAACAUUUUAAUGAAGGACACAAAAUGAAAUAUGAAAAAUGAUAAAGUCAUCAGUAAAAAAGGCAACAGACAAGCAAGAUAUUCAGAAAGAGUAUUUGCAAUGCUAAGGCCUGGCAGAGAAUAAACAGUAAAAGGCAUUAUUUUAAGUAGAUAUGUCUGUUGAAGAUUAAUAUGAAACACCAAAUAUUUACUGUGAGAAAAGUUGUGAGCAAAGCAACAGCCCUAUCAUCUGUGACUGGGAGAAACUUGUACUAUAGCCUUUGGGAAAGGAAUCUAGCAACAUCUAUUAUUUAAAAUAGAAACAGCUUGGGCUGGGGCUGGGGCUCAGUGGUAGAGCCCUUGCCUAGCAUGUGUGAAGCGCUGGGUUCGAUUCUCAGCAUGACAUUAAAAAAUAAAUAAAGAUAUUGUGUCCAUCUACAGCUAAAAAUAUUUUUUUUAAAAAAUAAAAAUAACUUUUAUUUGAGGACCUCCUGCCAUAGAAAUAACCAGACCAGUAUGUUUUUUUACGGGGUUCUCUUUUUUGUCUUUUUUGGAAGUGGGGGCAAACCCAGGGCUUUGCAAAUGCAAGGCAUAUGUUUUGCCACUGAGCUACAACCCAACCCUAUUUCUUUAAGCUUAUCUUGCAGAUAUUUCUUGCAGCAGUAUUCAUGGUAGAAAAAAACUAACAAGUUUUUUUUUAAAUAUUUUUAGUGUCAAUGGAUCUUUAUUUUAUGUCUUUGUAUGAAGUGCUGAGAAUUGAACCCAGGCCUCAAACAGCUAGGCAAAUGCCCCACCACUGAGCCCCAGCCCCAGCCCCUAAAAAGUUUUAAAAUGUGUUCUCAUUUAUCCAUUCAGAAAGUGCCUUCGUUAAAUUUCUUCUAGAUACUAGACACCAGGAGGUAGAACAAAGGGUUCCCACCUUGGGGGAAUGCUUGAUUGUAGCUGAGUAAAGGUACGCAGAGAAAAGAGCAAUGAGCAGAAUAUUUAAGACAGAGGUUCCUAUAAGCAAAAGCAAGGAGGGUAGAAAAGGCAGAGUGUGUUCUGCAGAAUGGGAGUGGUCCCCAGAAAAGAGAAUCACGUUCCAGUUACUUAAACAACAAAACAAAACACUGAUUCUUGAGUAAUUCUGGUGAACGGAGGCAGAUUGCCAAAUAGGAAUAGGGAGUUUGCCAUGGAUCUGUAUUGAGAUUCUAAUGCUUUUAAAAUAAAAAUGAAGCAGUAAUUACCAGGAUUUGAAAGGGGAAAGAAAGUCUUGCCAAAUUAAAUUGAUUUUCACUUUUCAUGAAAUCUCAAAACAAGGAAAACAUGGUGGAACAGUCAUAAUAACUGAUUAAAUGAUUGUCCAAAGUGCACUAGGUGAAAGGGUCAGUUACCUAGAAGGAAGUUUUUUUUUUUUUUUUUUCCCAAGAGAGAGAGAAUCUUUUAAUAUUUAUUUUUUAGUUUUCGGUGGACACAACAUCUUUAUUUUAUUUUUAUGUGGUGCUGAGGAUCGAACCCAGCGCCCCAUGCAUGCCAGGCGAGCGCGCUACCGCUUGAGCCACACCCCCAGCUCCCAAGAAGGAAAUUUUAAAUGUGAGAGAAUCUCAGGUGGAAUUAACAGGCAUAGAGAUGUGUGUCAAUCAGUUGUAUGUGAUAAGGACUAUUUUGGUAUUAAUACUGAAAAGUAAAUUAACAUGGGAUCAAGAUUUUUCCCCUAAUAAAUGUCUUACUCACUGGCAUUCAAAUGGUUUAGGUGAAUGAGGGAGAAGGAAAGGGACUUACAAUGUAGGAAGAAACACACAUAACCUUAAAAAGCUCAUAAAGCAUGUGGCUAUAUCCACAGCAGUAUAUUAUGUAUCUGUGCGUUGCUGCAGAGAAACUAUUGCAAACUGCUGUCCUUAUGGUUAGAAGCCUAGCUUUCUCAGAUUCCAGUUUCAUGAUUUGGAUCUUAAAUGAUAUCCAAAGUGAUGAUCUCAUCUUUAGAUGAGACUAAAGCUGGAAGUAUCUAAUAUAUUGACUCCAGGUGGGGGGAAAAACGAUGUUAAGACAUCUCAAUCUGCAUCUUGAAAAGGGGUUGGGAAAAGUUAAUUGCAAAUAAUAUAAAUCCUGUUUAGUCCAAACUUGUCAGAAUAUAAUUGGAACAUUGUUUUGAAAUUCUGUCUAUCAACCAUUGUAAGAAGGGCAAUAAUUAAAUGAUGCUGAUCUAGAGGAAGUCAAUCAGGCCAGAGACAGUGAUUAAAGGAACUGAAAUGUUUACAUUAGAAAAAGAAGACUCAGAGGUAUGAAAUUUGCCUUCAAAUAUGAAAUGCUGUUUUAAGAAUAGAAAAAAACAUAAGACUUUUUAUUGAGAUAGGGUUUGUACUGUUACAGAGUUUAGAAUUCCUUUUAAACCUGAGAUUCUAGGAAAUCCCUAGAUUUUUAUAAUAAAUCAGAAGAGCUGGUUUGGAAUGCCCAAAGCCCAUCUCUUUGAUAUCAAAGAUAAAGAACAGAGUUGAGACCAAAUUGCUGGGGCUACUGCCAGCAGAGCUUCCUGCAAUGGUUAAUUCAAAGAAGGGCAUCCAGAGGACAAGCCAGAGGGUUAGUUAACAAACAGGAAAGCUGGACAAAUGCCACAGUGAUGAGAAAACCAAACUCCAAAAAAUAAGGUGGCAGAAAUAACUAGGGAAACCAAAAGAUCAGGAUGCUAUGACCAGGGGGACUAGACUUAAAGGGAAGUAAAAUAAUGGAGCUGGAGGUUGGGGUGGGAUUACACAGUGACAAAGCACAAAUCAGCUUUGGCCAAAGUUUACUUCAGGUCAAAUCUGUGACCACCAUGUUGAGGAUGAACUGUGCUCAGCACAUAGUAAACAUGCAAUGAAUGUGAGUUAUUUGCAGCUUUACCCUGAUCCACUGGGACAUUAUCAAGUGUUUUAAAUGACCAAAACAUGCUAAGUAAGGACAAGGUCAUGGAUGCCUUAAACAUUAAGAAGUGUGGAUGUCUAAUUCAUGAAUUGACAUUAUUACCCUAUGUGCACAUAUAAUUUAAUGACCAGUGUGAUUCUACAUCAUGCACAACCAGAAGAGGGAGAAGUUGUACUCCAUUUAUGUAUGAUGUGUCAAAAUGCAUUCUACUGUCUUGUAUAACUAAUUAGAACAAAUUUAAAAAAGUAUGGAUAUUAUUCUACAGGCAAAAAGAAGCCCCCAAAGGCAUUUUGGGAUAUGCUUUUGGAACCUUACUUAUUGAGCAUUGUAAAGAGUAGAUGGGUAAUGAUACAAGAGGAGACAGAGCCAGUAGGUAAGGCUUUGUGCAAAAAUAGAAAGACCAUGGCCUUAAGGGGACAGGGAUCAGGAGUGCAGGAUUGAGAAACAUCCUACAGUGGGUAAAAUCACAGAGCUGGCUCUGUGUGGAGAAAACAUGGUCAAUAAAAAGAUGUGCCAUCUUUUUUAAAAAAUUAUUUAUUUAUUAUAAUUAGUUAUACAUGAAAACAGAAUGCAUUUCAAUUCAUAGUACACAUAUAGAGCACAAUUUUUCAUGUCUCUAGUUGUAUACAAAGCAGAGUCGCACCAUUUGUGUCUUCAUACAUGUAUUUAGGGUAAUGAUAUUCAUCUUGUUCCACCAUCUUUCCUAUCCUUAUACCCCCUCAGCCCCUUUGCGCUAUCUAAAGUUUCUCCAUUCCUUCCUUGCUCUGGUCUGCCAUCCCCAUUAUGGAUCAGCAUCCACAGAUCAGAGAACACAUUCAGCAUUUGUUUUUUUUUUGGAAUUGGCUUAUUUCACUUAGCAUCAUAUUUUCCAACUCCAUCCACUUACCUGUAAAGGCCAUGAUUUCAUUCUCCUUUAAUGCUGACUAAUGUUCCAUUGUGUAUAUAUACCACAGUUUCUUUAUCCAUUUAUCUGCUGAAGGGCAGCUAGGUUGGUUCCACAAUUUAGCUAUUGUGAAUUGUGCUGCUAUAAACAUUGAUGUGGCUGUGUCUCUGUAGUAUGCUUUUUUAAAUCCUCUGGGUAUAGAUUGAGGAGAGGGAUAGCUGGGUCAAAUGAUAUUUCCAUUCCCAGUUUUACAAGGAUUUUCCAUACUGCUUUUCAUAUUGGCUGCACCAAUUUGCAGUCCCACCAGCAAUGUAUGAGUGUACCUUUUUCCCCACAUCCUUGCCAACACCAAUUGUUGUUUUUAUUCUUAAUAGCUGCCAUUCUGACUGGAGUGAGAUGAAAUCUUAGAGUAGUUUUGAUUUGCAUUGCUAGAGAUGUUGAACCUUUUUUCAUAUAUUUGUUGACUGAUUGUAUGUCAUCUUCUGAGAAGUGUCUGUUUAGUUCCCUAGCCCAUUUACUGAUUGGGUUAUUUGCUUUUUUGGUGUUAAGUUUUUGGAGUUCUUUAUUUUUUAAAUUUAUUUAUUUUUAUUUAUAUAUGACAGUGGAAUGCAUUACAAUUCUUAUUACACAUAUAGAGCACAUUUUUUCAUAUCUCUGGUUGUGUACACAGUAUAUUCACACCAAUUUGUGUCUUCAUACCUGUACUUUGUAUAAUGAUGAUCAUCACAUUCCACCAUCAUUAAUAACCCCAUGCCCCCUCCCUUCCCCUCCAGUCCUCUGCUCUAUCUAGAGUUUGUGUAUUCCUCCCAUGAUCCUGCUCCCUAUCCCACUAUGAGUCAGCCUCCUUAUAUCAAAGAAAACAUUCAGCAUUUGGUUUUGGGGGAUUGGCUAACUUCACUUAGCAUUAUCUUCUCUAACUCCAUCUAUUUACCUGCAAAUGCCAUGAUUUUAUUCUCUUUUAUUGCUGAGUAAUAUUCCAUUGUGUAUAUAUGCCAUAUUUAUUUUAUCCAUCAUCUAUUGAAGGGCAUCGAGGUUGGUUCCACAGUUUAGCUAUUGUGAAUUGUGCUGCUAUAAACAUUGAUGUGGCUGUGUCCCUGUAGUAUGCUGUUUUUAAGUCCUUUAGGUAUAGACCAAGGAGAGGGAUAGCUGGGUCGUAUGGUGGUUCCAUUCCCAAUUUUCCAAGAAAUCAAGUUUUUGGAGUUCUUUAUAUAUCCUAGAGAUUAGUGCUCUAUCUGAUGUGCAUUCGGUAAAGAUUUGCUCCCAUUCUGUAGGCUCUCUAUUCACCUCACUGAUUGUUUCUUUUGCUGAGAAGAAGCUUUUCAGUUUGAAUCCAUCCCAUUUAUUGAUUCUUGAUUUUAUUUCUUGGGCUAUCUUAUUAAGGAAGUUGGGGCCUAAUCCAGCAUGAUGAAGAUCUGGGCCUACUUUUUCUUCUAUUAGGUGCAGGGUAUCUGGUUUUAUUCCUAUGUCCUUGAUCCACUUUGAGUUGAGUUUUGUGCAUGGUGAGAGAUAGAAGCUUCAUUUCAUUUUGCUACACGUGGAUUUCCAGUUUUCCCAGCACUAUUUGUUGACGAGGCUAUCUUUUCUCCAAUAUAUGUUUUUGGCACCUUUUUCUAGUAUGAGAUAACUGUAUUAAUGUGGGUUUGUCUCUGUGUCCUCUACUCUGUACCAUUGGUCUACAAGUCUAUUUUGGUGUCAAUACCAUGCCGUUUUUGUUAUGAUUGCUCUGUAAUAUAAUUUAAAAUCUGGUAUAGUGAUGCCACCUGCUUCACUCUUGCUAAGGAUUGCAAGAUAUACCAUUUUAUGGUACCCUUCUCAAGGACAUGACAGAGCAGGUCGGGAACAGCCAGCCCCAUUAAACACUAUUCACUCCAGCUGAGGUCAAAGGAAAGGAGGCUCUUUAAUGAGUAUAAAACUUUGAGCACUUGAAACUCAAAGCUUUGGUUCUUUUCGUAUGGCUUCUUUCAUUGUUCAAUUGCAUGAGAAAAGAAAGCUAAGUUUAAAAUUCUACUUAAAUUUGAGCUGAAAAGGGAUUAUCCUCUAGAGAAGUAGGAAGUUACAAUUUUAUAGAUAUAAACCUAUGUAGAUUUAUAGAUAUAAAUUUAUUCUCAUAGAAGCUAAAGAGAGAGGAAGUUUCAAGGGUGGAGUGUUCCAGUUUCAGAUGCUGCAACAUAGUCAAGUAAGGACUGAAAAGUGGCCAAGUAUUUAGAAUCAAGGCAUAUGGCCUACAGACUUACACAUCGAUGCCAAGAUCAUAGGAAAUGAACUUUUGAACACAUGGCAGUAAAUAAAAUCUUGAGAUACUGAGAUUUAGACAGAGCUCAAAGUUAGAACGUUAUAAAGGAAGGAUAUUUUAAAACAUUGCAAUGGACUACUUUAUAUGACAGAAAAACAUUGUUCAAUAAGGAAGAAAACCUUGUCAAAAAGAUAUAUAUCUGAGUAUAUUAUGGACCUAAAAGCCAUGGGAUUACAGAGAACAUUUGGAUAGUAUGGACAAUGUGGAUAGUAACUGACUUAAUGAGUAUACUGUUAGCUCCUGACAUGUUCUUAUAAAAAAAUCCAAGCUGUUGUGAGACUGAAUCAAUCCCAUCCUGUCAACUGCGACUGUCAUCAUACAUUUUAUUUCUACAUGUAUUCAACCCAAAAUACAUCUUAAAAUUAUUUUUGCUUUAGCAAAUUAACUUUUAAAGAAACUAAGAAAAAAAUACAGAUCUCUAUAUUACUUAACAUAUUUAUAGUUUCUUCUCAUUCCUUCCUUUCAACCCACAUUUCCAUUUCCUAUCAUUUCCUUUCAGGCUAGAAAACUUCCUUUGACCUUUCUUAUAGUAGAGAUAUACUGAUGACACAGUUGCUGUUUCUGAUUAACUGAAAAUGACUUUGUUUGCUUUCCUUUUAUUAAAAAAAAUACAUUUCUCUUUGAAAAUUUUCUUUGUAGUAAAAUAUAUAUGACAUAUGAUUUUGACCAUUUUAAGCCUACAGUUCAGUGGUUAUUAACCACAUUCAUAACUUUGUGCAGUCAUCACCAUUAUCUGUUUCCAAAACUUUAUAUCAUCUCCAAAAAACUUGGUAGCCCACCAUUAAGUAAUUACUUUCCUUCCACCCUUCCCCAGUCCCUGGUAGCCUCUAAUCUACUUCCAUCUCUAUUCUAAAUAUUUCCUGUAAGUGGAACCGUACAUUAUUUGUCCUUUUUGUAUGGCUUAUUUCACUUAUUAUAGUGUUUUCAAGGUUCAUUUGGGUUGUAAACGUAUUAGAAUUUCAUUCCUUUUUGAACCGUGUACCACAUUGAACUUGUCCUUUCAUCUGAUGAUAAAUACUUGGGUUGUUUUGCCUUGCAGCUAUUAUUAUGAAUAAUAAUGAAAUUAAUAUCAUGUAAAAAUAACUGUUGGGUCCCAUUUUCAACUUUGGGGGUGUUGCUGGAUCAUAUGAUAAAUCCGUGUCCAUCUUUUUGAGGAAAAGCUAAGCUGAUUUUCACAACAGCUGCAUCGUUGACAUUCCCACACUGUGAUGUAGAAGGUUUUUAUUUUCUCCAUAUUGUUAGCAACACUUGCUAUUUUCCUUAGUUUUAAUUUUUUAAAUUAUAGCCAUUUUAGUCUAUUUGAAGUGCUGCCUGUGGUUUAGAUUUGUAUUACCCUAAUGAAGAAUGGUGUCAAGCAUAUGUUCACGUGCUUACUGGCUGUUUAUAUAUCUUCUUGCAAAGAAUGUCUUCUCAAGUCCUUUGCCCAUUUAGUGUUGGGUUGUCUGUCUUUUUCUUGUUGAGUUGUAGGACAGAAAGAUAGAUGAUAGAUGGAUAGAUUCUGGCUAUUAAACCCUGUCAUAUAUAUGAUUCGAAAAUGUUGUCUCCCAUCCGAUAGGUUAUCUUUUGACUUUCUUGAUAAUUUUCUUUGAUGCACAAAGGUCUUCAAGGUUUAUGAAAUAAAAUUUAUCUAUUUUUUUUUCUUUUGUUGUUUGCAUCAUAACUAAGAAUCCAUUGCCAAAUCCAAGUUUUGUCCCUAUGUUUUCUUCUAUGAAUUUCAUAGUUUUGGCUCUUAUAUGUAGGUCAUUGAUCCAUUUUGAGUUAAUUUUUCUUUGUGGUGCAAGGCAGGGCUCCAGCUUUAUUCUUUCACAAAUUCCAUCAUCUCAUCAUCAUUUGUUGAAGAGAUAUUAUGUCCCUAUCAAAUGAACUCACCAUCCUGUCAAAAACCAAUAGGCCAUAGAUGAAUGGGUGUAUUUCUGGAUUCUCAAUUUUAUUCCUUUGGUUUAUAAGUCUAUACUUGUGCNUUAAACCCUGUCAUAUAUAUGAUUCGAAAAUGUUGUCUCCCAUCCGAUAGGUUAUCUUUUGACUUUCUUGAUAAUUUUCUUUGAUGCACAAAAGUCUUCAAGGUUUAUGAAAUAAAAUUUAUCUAUUUUUUUUCUUUUGUUGUUUGCAUCAUAACUAAGAAUCCAUUGCCAAAUCCAAGUUUUGUCCCUAUGUUUUCUUCUAUGAAUUUCAUAGUUUUGGCUCUUAUAUGUAGGUCAUUGAUCCAUUUUGAGUUAAUUUUUCUUUGUGGUGCAAGGCAGGGCUCCAGCUUCCAUCAUCUCAUCAUCAUUUGUUGAAGAGAUAUUAUGUCCCUAUCAAAUGAACUCACCAUCCUGUCAAAAACCAAUAGGCCAUAGAUGAUGGGUGUAUUUCUGGAUUCUCAAUUUUAUUCCUUUGGUUUAUAAGUCUAUACUUGUGCCAAUACUACUCGGUUUUGGUUAUUAUGGCUCUGAAGUAAGCUUUAAAAUUGGAAAGGAAGUUUGAGUUUUCUUUGUUCUUUUUCAAAAUCAUUACAGUUUUUCAGGGCUCUUUGCAAUUUCAUAUGGAUUUGAAAAUCAGCAUUUUGUGGGUAAUGCAUAUGGGAUUACUCCACAUUUUAUGGACUGCAGAAUAACCCUCAGAAGAAAGCUACGUAAAUGUGAAUAUCACCCAGUAUGGUUCCCUUCUUUUAAGGGUAAAAAGCAACUUCAGUCAUUGAAUUGUUCUUAAUAUUUUGUCCAGAGUGUAAGUUUUAUCAGCAUAAAUGUUUAUCUUAUACAAGCUACUCUAACGUUAGCAGAACAAGACUUCUAUUUGAAUAAUUUGUGCCUUUAUUAUUUAUUUUUGUUUUUUAUAUUAAUGGGAGAUCUCCUCACUCAACAGAAUCAGACCACUGAUGAGGGUAUCAGACCUAGGUGCUUCUGAAGAUUAUGUUUCUGGUGGUUAAGAAUUCAGGCUCUGUCAACCUAGGUGUCCUUCAACAGAUGAAUGGGUAAAGAACAAGUGGCAUAUAUAAACAAUGGAGUAUCACUCAGUGAUGAAGAAGAAUGACUUUAUACAGACGGCGGGUCGAGCCGAGAAGCGGCCAGCAAGCAGAGAGAAACGGCUCUGUGAAUUCUGUGGAGUCCUGCCGGCUGUGCCCUCACUGAGCUCUGGGCUGAGUUCGGGGUUUGAGACGGGGGAAGGAAGCGGUCCAGUUCUAUCCCCCACACUGGACAGUCCACCAAGGAAGCCAGCGGCCACCAUCUUGGAGAGUUGACGUCACCAUCGCCAGUUUCCAACAGAUUGCAACAAUAAAACAGGUGUGUGUUACUCAGCCCAUCUCCCAUACAGCGGGGAAUUCGCAUAAAAUCUCUCCCCGGCUCAGGGGAGGGAUUAUCAGAACGAGCCUGCAUAGAGACGUGGGGAAAAGUAAAGACACCUGACCUCCAACUCCCCCUCCCAUCAGCUGCGAAAACAAAACCUGUCUUGCCAGCUCUGGGGGAGGGGCAAGCGGAAAAAAUCAAAACAAUAGGGUGCCAGUUCCCAAUAGCCACCCUCCACACCCAGCAAACUUCAGGCCCAGAGUACAGUUUGAACUACCGAGAGGCAUCACACUGGGGAAGGCAUGGCUAGCAGGAGAAGCCAGGGGACGAGAGGCCAGGAAUAAACCUAAGCUAACAGGUUUUUGAGAACACCAGGAGGGGAGGAGGGAGCAGCCUCACAUGGACUGUAUCCUACAGCCAGAGGGCAAAAUCUUGGCCCGGACAGCACAGCACCACCUACUGGAAGCGAAGAAAAUAGAAGCCUAACAGUGCCCCCCCCCUUUUUUUUUCUCUUAUCUCAUUUUUUUAAUUCUUUAAUUUAAAAUUUUGUUUGUUUGCUUGUUAAUUAUUUUUUUCUUCAAUUGUAAUUUUUUUAAUUGUAAUUUUAUUUUAUUGCAUUUUAUUAUUUUUUUAUCAUUUCUUUUCUUUUCUAUUCUUUUCUCUUUCUUCUCUCCCUCUCUCUUUCUUGGUUUGCGUCCUUAACUUUUCCCCAUCUUUCCUCUUAAGCAUGAACACCCAGAUUACAUAUAACUUACUAAAUGCAAGUAGAUGAAUGCUACGAAUAGGUCUAUAGUCCACCUAAGCCCUUAACUACCCCCAAGUACUCCUGUCUAUUCUCUUGUUAAUAUCCGCCUGCAUUUGAGCAACCCCCCAAAGAAGCUAACAUACUAACCUCCAUACCAUCAAAUCGCCCGACCUUAACAUAAAAUCCUAAGUCCAAACCUCAGUUCUCUAUAUGCCAUCAAAAUCUGAAGGCCUUUAAUGAAACUAAUGAAUUUACCUUAAAUCACAAUUAAAUCCAACAUCUCUAAACAUUGUCUCCUAACACAAAGGAGAGAUAGUGGAACUAUAAAAACCAAAAAAAAUUUAAAGGAGAAAACAGAAACACAGCAGUCAAACAGAGUUGGAAAGUAACUUGAGCACCAUGAAAAAACAAGGGAAAAAAGGAUUACAAACAAUGCAGGGCAACUUAAAUACACAGGAGAAUCUAGAGGCAUCAGAAAAAUGGACAGAGAAAGAACUCAAGGCAUACAUAACUCAGAUGGAACGGAAUCUUAGAGAAGACUUUAGACAGCAAGUUCAAACAAUGAAAGUAUAUUUUGAAAACGAAUUAAAUAAGCAAAUUAAAAUGGCAAAGAACGAGCUCUAUCAGGAAAUAGAGAUUUAAAAAAAAAUCAAAUAGUAAUCCUA